This is a long non-coding RNA of Homo sapiens (human), 175 nucleotides long. RefSeq lists it as uncharacterized. The record is from RefSeq and is a predicted model, not a curated record. The transcript has 2 exons. NCBI's taxonomy places the organism in Eukaryota, Metazoa, Chordata, Mammalia, Primates, Hominidae.
CAGAACUCAGAGCACAUGGAGCCCCAGAGAAGAGCGGAAAAUCCAGCGUGCUUCACAAGCACUGAAACCAGAAAUAACCAAAGUGUCCACGGAUGGGCGGCUGGAUACAAAGCCGGCGUGUAGUCAUAAAGGGAUGCAGCGAACGACGAAUGUGAAUAAACAUUUGCUGUAUGAA